UGGGUUUGUGUAUGUACCGGCCGAUUUUGGGACAGACUUUUUUGUGGUGACAUAUAUAUACGUUAGAACCCUAAAACCGGCCUUAACCUGACUUGGAACCCUAGCGGUUCCAAUCUAACUGGCUGGCUUUUCUAACAUUGAACUGGACCAAAUUCCCAUUUAUUUGCUUUCAAUUGGACUAAUAGCCAACAUAGGUUAUUAGAAGUUCGUGGUCUUUCAAGACAGGCUUAAGAAUGAGAAAUAAAUCCUUUAAUUUUGAGGGUAAGCCUCAAAUCUCAUGAGCAACGGGAAAUAUAUAUCUACGGCGCUGCCAACCUCCAAAUAAUAAAUAUGCGGGCAAUUUAUGAAAAUACCCAUUAGAGAUAGAAAUGUAUAUGAUGAGACCUUUUAUUUUUUAUACAAAUAUGAAGGUCACAAUCAUAGUCAACCCUUGGAUGUAAAAUCAGAUAGGUCAUGGUGUGUCACUAAUUGAGCACAAACUCCAAAGCAAAUUUUAUCGAAAACUGUGAAACAUUUUAAUAAGUUAAAUUUUAAAUCCAAUGGCUAAGAAAAUUUGUGACGUUCUUGUAAUAAAACUAAAUGAUCUCAUAGUAUACAAUACCAUUAGAGAUUGAGUAAUUAACAUUUGGCCUAUUUGCAUCUAUUCAAACAUAAGGCCACGUGUUUUUCAAUAGGUAUUUUGAAAAUCAAAAUCAAUAGAUAUGGGCUAAAUGUUAAAUUAUUUAUCUCUCAUGGUAAUUUGAAAAUUUUCCCUAACUAUGUAACUGUCUAUUACAAUUGCCUUUUAAACAGACGGCUUAGAUCAGUUGAGUGAAAAUGUCGUUGAAUAAAAAGAAAAAUUUGGUAAUCAAAAGCAAAGCCCGUAUACUAUAAUUUCUCAGAGAAAGGAUCAUUUCCUCGAGUUACUCUCUUUCAACAAAGAGUAACACCAUUUUUCUAAUCAUCCAUCUUCAUCAUUGUCUUGAUAGUCACAUACUCUUCAUACCCACACAUGUUACAACACAAUCCCUAACAUUCAGACAAGUACUGAAUGCAACAUUCUCUCCAACCCACAAUAGAGAAAAUCCUACUUCUAGGGGGCAAAAAUCAAGAAAAUGAAAGACACUAUAAAUAAAGAAACCCCUAAAAAUCUAUAUAAAAAUCCUAUUUAGUAAUGCAUCAAUAAAAACUUGCAAAUUCUAAAAAAGGAGCACCAAGCUCUUGGGACCUCCAUCAAUGGAGGAUUUUUCUUGUUACAUCCCACAUGCAAAGCAAAACUAAGAAUUCACGUCCACAAUCCUUUCAUUCAUAGUGUUGCUCUGUUCAAUACUCAUUUUUUAAUUACCAUGUUCCCUGAAAACUACAAAUUUAGGGCUUGGAGAGAAGAGUUAGAGAGAGGGGUACUAGAAAUGAGCAAGGAAAGAAAUUUGGGGCUUAGAUGGGAGAGGGAGAACACCGCUCUUCACGUUUCUUAUUUUGUGGCAUUUUCAUUCAAGCAAUCCCAAUCAUCUAUUUAUACGGUAUGCUACUUGAGUCAGUGCCAGAAAAUAAAUUCUCCCAUGAAGGGACAAAUGUAAUUGGGUGGCUUUUACUCUUUACCUCGUCACAAGAAGAGGCAGUAUCUACACUAUAUUAUUAAGUAAGAGUUAAGAGGUGGACACAUAUCCCAAAAAUAAAAAUAAAACCUAUGGUAAGAGAAACAAUGAGGUCGGUAAAAUCAUAUUCUUUCAUUUGUGUGAUCAUCUUAUUUGUCUUUGGAGUGAAAUUUCUCCAAAUAUCUUAUAUUUCCUUAAGGUAAUCUCGAUUCUUAUAUUUUCUCGACUAAUGAUGCAAGAAACAAAGCUGUCCUUCCAUAAUUCUCUAAAUUCGAUAACAUGCACAGUCAUUAAAUGGGUGCAUUUUAACUCAAAUGCACGAUAUUAAAUCUUUAUUUUGCAUGAAAUGUACAUUAAAUGAUGUCCAAUGUCUGAACUAAUAAAAAUACACAUGAAAAGUCACAUAAGAUAAUAAUCAUAUCUUCAAGCCAAUAUUACUAAAAGACACAAUAACAUGAAAGAAAUUCCACUCAAUGAAUUACAAGGCAACUACGAAAGAGCACGACUAUUAACUAAGACUCACAAGUGAUGCCUAAUCAAACACACAAUAUCAAGUAAAUCUCAGUCACUGAAGAGUUAAUGGGGUGGUCCAUGAGGACCAGGGGGUGGAGGAGGUGGUCCAUGAGGACCAGAGGGUGGAGGAGGUGGUCCAUGUGGUGCCGGUGGAGGUGAAGGCGGAUGCGGGUGGGGGGGCGGGGGCGGGUCUGGCCCAAAGAUGGCCCUCAGAGUUCCACCAACAAACCCUAAAGCCCUACCAACAAGGCUUGGUGGAUGAGGGUGAGGGCCUUCAUGAGGGGGAUGCUCAGGCAUUCUUGCUUCUGGUGUCGUAGAUGAUGGCUCUUUCGUUCUAGUCUGGUUUUUGUAGGAAACAAGUCUUGUUAUUCA
RNAcentral lists this long non-coding RNA (2459 nucleotides) under Amborella trichopoda. RNAcentral's name for it is "long non-coding RNA (ATRI_LNC004775)". The record is from RNAcentral. Lineage: Eukaryota; Viridiplantae; Streptophyta; Magnoliopsida; Amborellales; Amborellaceae.